Molecule: transfer RNA, 68 nt
Filed under: Cautires sp. UPOL MM0039
Lineage: Eukaryota; Metazoa; Arthropoda; Insecta; Coleoptera; Lycidae
Description: tRNA-Phe
Source: RNAcentral
UAUUUUAAUAGCUUAUUUUAAAGCAUAAUAUUGAAGAUAUUAAGAAGGAAAGUUUUCCUUAAAAUAUU